Panthera pardus (leopard) is the source of this 141-nucleotide unclassified non-coding RNA. The record is from Ensembl. Lineage: Eukaryota; Metazoa; Chordata; Mammalia; Carnivora; Felidae.
AAGACUUUGCAAUGAUUUGAUAACCAUGUGCAGGAUACUUAUUUAAGCCUUUCCCAAUUCUCUAGUAACCUCACUGGGCCAGGCCGGGUUCAGUACACCUCUUCACCAGGGGCAUGGCUUCUGAUCACAUUUGGUGUCACC